Molecule: ribosomal RNA, 1762 nt
Filed under: Salmonella enterica
Lineage: Bacteria; Pseudomonadati; Pseudomonadota; Gammaproteobacteria; Enterobacterales; Enterobacteriaceae
Description: partial 23S ribosomal RNA
Rfam family: Bacterial large subunit ribosomal RNA
Source: RNAcentral
GUUAAGUGGGAAACGAUGUGGGAAGGCCCAGACAGCCAGGAUGUUGGCUUAGAAGCAGCCAUCAUUUAAAGAAAGCGUAAUAGCUCACUGGUCGAGUCGGCCUGCGCGGAAGAUGUAACGGGGCUAAACUAUGCACCGAAGCUGCGGCAGCGACACUAUGUGUUGUUGGGUAGGGGAGCGUUCUGUAAGCCUGUGAAGGUGUGUCGUGAGGCAUGCUGGAGGUAUCAGAAGUGCGAAUGCUGACAUAAGUAACGAUAAAGCGGGUGAAAAGCCCGCUCGCCGGAAGACCAAGGGUUCCUGUCCAACGUUAAUCGGGGCAGGGUGAGUCGACCCCUAAGGCGAGGCCGAAAGGCGUAGUCGAUGGGAAACGGGUUAAUAUUCCCGUACUUGGUGUUACUGCGAAGGGGGGACGGAGAAGGCUAUGUUGGCCGGGCGACGGUUGUCCCGGUUUAAGCGUGUAGGUGUGUGUUCCAGGUAAAUCCGGUUCACUUUAACACUGAGGCGUGAUGACGAGGCACUACGGUGCUGAAGCAACAAAUGCCCUGCUUCCAGGAAAAGCCUCUAAGCAUCAGGUAACAUCAAAUCGUACCCCAAACCGACACAGGUGGUCAGGUAGAGAAUACCAAGGCGCUUGAGAGAACUCGGGUGAAGGAACUAGGCAAAAUGGUGCCGUAACUUCGGGAGAAGGCACGCUGACACGUAGGUGAAGUGAUUUACUCAUGGAGCUGAAGUCAGUCGAAGAUACCAGCUGGCUGCAACUGUUUAUUAAAAACACAGCACUGUGCAAACACGAAAGUGGACGUAUACGGUGUGACGCCUGCCCGGUGCCGGAAGGUUAAUUGAUGGGGUCAGCGCAAGCGAAGCUCCUGAUCGAAGCCCCGGUAAACGGCGGCCGUAACUAUAACGGUCCUAAGGUAGCGAAAUUCCUUGUCGGGUAAGUUCCGACCUGCACGAAUGGCGUAAUGAUGGCCAGGCUGUCUCCACCCGAGACUCAGUGAAAUUGAACUCGCUGUGAAGAUGCAGUGUACCCGCGGCAAGACGGAAAGACCCCGUGAACCUUUACUAUAGCUUGACACUGAACAUUGAGCCUUGAUGUGUAGGAUAGGUGGGAGGCUUUGAAGUGUGGACGCCAGUCUGCAUGGAGCCGACCUUGAAAUACCACCCUUUAAUGUUUGAUGUUCUAACGUGGACCCGUGAUCCGGGUUGCGGACAGUGUCUGGUGGGUAGUUUGACUGGGGCGGUCUCCUCCUAAAGAGUAACGGAGGAGCACGAAGGUUGGCUAAUCCUGGUCGGACAUCAGGAGGUUAGUGCAAUGGCAUAAGCCAGCUUGACUGCGAGCGUGACGGCGCGAGCAGGUGCGAAAGCAGGUCAUAGUGAUCCGGUGGUUCUGAAUGGAAGGGCCAUCGCUCAACGGAUAAAAGGUACUCCGGGGAUAACAGGCUGAUACCGCCCAAGAGUUCAUAUCGACGGCGGUGUUUGGCACCUCGAUGUCGGCUCAUCACAUCCUGGGGCUGAAGUAGGUCCCAAGGGUAUGGCUGUUCGCCAUUUAAAGUGGUACGCGAGCUGGGUUUAGAACGUCGUGAGACAGUUCGGUCCCUAUCUGCCGUGGGCGCUGGAGAACUGAGGGGGGCUGCUCCUAGUACGAGAGGACCGGAGUGGACGCAUCACUGGUGUUCGGGUUGUCAUGCCAAUGGCACUGCCCGGUAGCUAAAUGCGGAAGAGAUAAGUGCUGAAAGCAUCUAAGCACGAAACUUGCCCCGAG